This 543-nucleotide ribosomal RNA is filed under the name uncultured bacterium. RNAcentral describes it as "partial 16S ribosomal RNA". It matches the Rfam family "Bacterial small subunit ribosomal RNA", at positions 355 to 887 of the family's 1533-position model. The record is from RNAcentral.
UGGGGAAUAUUGCACAAUGGGCGCAAGCCUGAUGCAGCCAUGCCGCGUGUGUGAAGAAGGCCUUCGGGUUGUAAAGCACUUUCAGCGAGGAGGAAGGUGGUGAGCUUAAUACGCUCAUCAAUUGACGUUACUCGCAGAAGAAGCACCGGCUAACUCCGUGCCAGCAGCCGCGGUAAUACGGAGGGUGCAAGCGUUAAUCGGAAUUACUGGGCGUAAAGCGCACGCAGGCGGUUUGUUAAGUCAGAUGUGAAAUCCCCGGGCUCAACCUGGGAACUGCAUUUGAAACUGGCAAGCUAGAGUCUCGUAGAGGGGGGUAGAAUUCCAGGUGUAGCGGUGAAAUGCGUAGAGAUCUGGAGGAAUACCGGUGGCGAAGGCGGCCCCCUGGACGAAGACUGACGCUCAGGUGCGAAAGCGUGGGGCAGCAAACAGGAUUAGAUACCCCUGGUAGUCCACGCUGUAAACGAUGUCGAUUUUGGAGGUUGUGCCCUUGAGGCGUGGCUUCCGGAGCUAACGCGUUAAAUCGACCGCCUGGGGAGUACGGCC